UAUGUGAUCGUCUCUCGCAUAUCAAUAAGCGGAGGAAAAGAAACUAACAAGGAUUCCCCUAGUAACGGCGAGUGAAGCGGGAAGAGCUCAAAUUUGAAAUCUUAAAGGGUUUCCCUUUACGAAUUGUAGUUUAAAGAAGUGUUUUCUGUUGAGGUUUUGGUAAUAGUUCUUUGGAAUAGGACAUCAUAGAGGGUGAGAAUCCCGUAUUUGACCUUUACUUUCAACUUUGUGAUACACUUUCAAAGAGUCGGAUUGUUUGGGAAUGCAGUCCAAAAUGGGUGGUAAAUUUCAUCUAAAGCUAAAUAUUGGCGAGAGACCGAUAGCGAACAAGUACCGUGAGGGAAAGAUGAAAAGAACUUUGAAAAGAGAGUUAAACAGUACGUGAAAUUGUCAAAAGGGAAGCGUUUGACACCAGUGUUGUUUUUCUGAGAAUCAAUUAAAGAACUGUUUAUGCUAAGUUGUUUAGACUUUAUCAGCUAACUGUUUAGUUUUGAGCUUUUCUUUAAUGCACUUUUCAGUUAACAAGUCAACAUCAAUUUCUUUUGCUGUAAAAAAGCUUGAGGAAGGUGGCUUGAGAUUCGUCUUAAGUGUUUAUAGCCUCUUGCCUAUGCAGUCGGAGAGAUUGAGGUCUGCAGCGUAGAUCCUUCGGGGCUAAAUGCAUUUGUGCUAAGUUAUAGCAUUUUAUAGACAACUUGUUGACUAUGAUUUGUCUUGUAGCUUACUCGCUUAUGUUAUUUUACCUACGCUUAGGAUGUUGAGUAGCGACAUACGCAC
RNAcentral lists this ribosomal RNA (774 nucleotides) under uncultured Neocallimastigales. Its description in RNAcentral is "partial large subunit ribosomal RNA". It matches the Rfam family "Eukaryotic large subunit ribosomal RNA", at positions 24 to 649 of the family's 3401-position model. Lineage: Eukaryota; Fungi; Neocallimastigomycota; Neocallimastigomycetes; Neocallimastigales. The record is from RNAcentral.